UCCUACUUGUACUUAUUGCCCUAUGACGUACAAGAAAAAAAGCUAAGUUAACAUUGGGUAUUUCUAAACCAAGGACAAAAUUUAGAAACUAUACAGCACAGGUGUUUUUGGCGGUUGUAGAUGCGUAACAGAUUUUGGAAGACAAAGUUAGAAAAAGCAUGUUUUUUUUUUUUUUAAUUCUUUCAUCAUAUUUACUAAAGUAUUUUUUAUAGUAAAUGAUAUGAUGAAAAUAAUGGUAUCUUUAGAAAGACCAUAAAAAGGUGGUGGGUACAGUAAGUGAGUAAAAUGAAAAUUACAGCCAAACACAAACACCGCAGAAAUGUAAAAACAGCCCUGGUCACUAAGAGGUUAAAGGCACUAUAGUCCCCAAAGCACCUUUAGCUUAAUGAAAAAGUGUUAGUUACAAUCAUGGGGGGAGGUGGUGGCUAUGGGUUUAUAAGCAGACACAAACAUGAUUUAACGCGUAACUGGCAGAGAAUUGAGCAGUGAGACACAAAAACAGCUAACGUUGUUUUGGUGACUAUAGUGUCUGUUAAAUAUUUUGUUAAGUACAAUAAAUAGCAUAGCUUCAUGUGAUCCAGUCCUUAUCAUGGAUCGGAUAUUAAAUGGAAUGGAUUCUCCCCCCGCCCAUCUUGGAACCCACCAUACAAAUUUAAUGUUGUAUAUUUCUCCACCAUGACAAUUUUUCUUGCACUCUACUAUCCGCUAGUGCCAUUUACCAACAAAUAACACCUACUAGUGACCUCCAAACUGUGUUAAUUUGCUCAAACGUGAAACCCACAAAUCGAAAAAAGAACCCCCCACCAUCCAGGAAAGGGUUAAAUAAUUUUUAAAAUCAGAUUCCAGUGCCAAAGGGCAUGCUCGUCCUCCGCUGGCAUCAGCCAACUGAGGGGGACUUAAUGCGCAUGAGUGGCUUGGGCCACACAAACAUUAGGCCUUCUCCAAAAGAAAGCAUUGAAUCAAUGCAUUCCUAUUGUGGAUUUGCAGAAAAGCAUCUCGAGUGGCUGUCUUGGCAUUGCAAUGUACACAUUGAGGUUUCUCUAAACUGCAAUAUUUUACUUUAUGGGGCUAAGGGGGUCAGAGACACUGCACACAGACCACUUCAAUGAGAUGAAGCAGUCUGGGUGCCGAUAGUGUCUAUUUAAACAAUCCACAUUAUCAAGAUAUCUGUCAACCAUGUGGGAAGGAGAGCUGCUUGUACGGUAUAGAAGUAAAUAAAAGAGGAUAUUUUUACACAAUAAUGAUCAAUAACAAUCGGUCUCAUGUGCCAAUAAUUGCUGUUCCUUCACCAUCACAGAGUUAUUAAUUAAAUAAUGAAUUGCUGGGAAUUUGAAUAGGGUGUGUUAACUAAAGUGAGAAUAAAAUGCCAAUUUCAAAUUUAAAGUCAAAAUAUCUGAAUAUUCUCAGCUAAGCUUCCAGUUCAGGUAUUGUGGCUUUAUAUUUGAAAUUAAAGUUAAAUACUCACUUUAGGAAAUCACCCUGAUAGUGAUGAAAAUUUUUUUCGGUCAAAGUAGACAAUCUGACUUAUAUUCCUUGAAUGUAGCUAUUAUGAUCUAGAAUUUAAAAUUCACUCUUAUUUUCUGGAAAUUUCUACUUUAGUGACCCGGAGAGAGGGACAUUUACUACUGCUCCGGUCAGACGGCCAACCACACAGCCAGGUGGCACAUUCUGAGCCAAGGGGGAAAGCAGAGAUUGAUGGCUCACUAUACACCUGUCUGCAUGUCAGCAUUUUUUUCACAAUAUCUGUAAUGUUGAUCUCACCUGCCAGGUAACCCUGUGUUACGGACGCAAAUAAGUUAUGAACAUACGCCAAUAAGCAGCCAAUCAGGACAGAGUGUAUGCCACAUUGCAUGCUGGUAAAUAAGAU
Molecule: long non-coding RNA, 1867 nt
Filed under: Pelobates cultripes (western spadefoot toad)
Lineage: Eukaryota; Metazoa; Chordata; Amphibia; Anura; Pelobatidae
Source: RNAcentral